This 497-nucleotide ribosomal RNA is filed under the name uncultured bacterium. RNAcentral describes it as "partial 16S ribosomal RNA". It matches the Rfam family "Bacterial small subunit ribosomal RNA", at positions 28 to 507 of the family's 1533-position model. The record is from RNAcentral.
GACGAACGCUGGCGGCGUGCCUAAUACAUGCAAGUAGAACGCUGAAGCGAGGAGCUUGCUCUUCUUGGAUGAGUUGCGAACGGGUGAGUAACGCGUAGGUAACCUGCCUUGUAGCGGGGGAUAACUAUUGGAAACGAUAGCUAAUACCGCAUAACAAUGGAUGACACAUGUCAUUUAUUUGAAAGGGGCAAUUGCUCCACUACAAGAUGGACCUGCGUUGUAUUAGGUAGUAGGUGAGGUAAUGGCUCACCUAGGCGACGAUACAUAGCCGACCUGAGAGGGUGGUCGGCCACACUGGGACUGGGACAAGGCCCAGACUCCUACGGGGGGCAGCAGUAGGGGAUCUUCGGCAAUGGGGGCAACCCUGGCCGAGCAACGCCGCGUGAGUGAAGGAGGUUUUCGGAUCGUAAAACUCUGUUGUAAGUGAAGAACGGGUGUGAGAGUGAAAAGUUCACACUGUGACGGUAGCUAACCAGAAAGGGACGGCUAACUACGUG